This 253-nucleotide ribosomal RNA is filed under the name uncultured bacterium. RNAcentral describes it as "partial 16S ribosomal RNA". It matches the Rfam family "Bacterial small subunit ribosomal RNA", at positions 524 to 776 of the family's 1533-position model. The record is from RNAcentral.
CACGGGGGGAGCAAGCGUUGUUCGGAAUCACUGGGCGUAAAGGGCGUGUAGGCGGUCUGGUAAGUGGGAUGUGAAAUGCUCCGGCUCACCCGGAGAGGUGCAUCCCAUACUGCUAGACUUGAGUACGGGAGAGGAUGGGGGAAUUCCUGGUGUAGCGGUGAAAUGCGUAGAUAUCAGGAGGAACACCGGUGGCGAAGGCGCCCAUCUGGCCCGAUACUGACGCUGAGGCGCGAAAGCUAGGGGAGCAAACGGG